UGGAUCCAGACUUUGAUUCUGGCUCAGGACGAACGCUGGCGGCGUGCCUAACACAUGCAAGUCGAACGGAACUUCUUUAAAGGAUUUCUUCGGAAUGAGUUUGAUUAAGUUUAGUGGCGGACGGGUGAGUAACGCGUGAGUAACCUGCCUCUAAGAGGGGAAUAACAUUCUGAAAAGAAUGCUAAUACCGCAUAAUAUAUAUUUAUCGCAUGGUAGAUAUAUCAAAGAUUUAUCGCUUAGAGAUGGACUCGCGUCCGAUUAGUUAGUUGGUGAGGUAACGGCUCACCAAGACCGCGAUCGGUAGCCGGACUGAGAGGUUGAACGGCCACAUUGGGACUGAGGCACGGCCCAGACUCCUACGGGAGGCAGCAGUGGGGGAUAUUGCGCAAUGGGGGAAACCCUGACGCAGCAACGCCGCGUGAAGGAUGAAGGUCUUCGGAUUGUAAACUUCUUUUAUUAAGGACGAAGAAAGUGACGGUACUUAAUGAAUAAGCUCCGGCUAACUACGUGCCAGCAGCCGCGGUAAUACGUAGGGAGCAAGCGUUGUCCGGAUUUACUGGGUGUAAAGGGUGCGUAGGCGGGACUGCAAGUUGGAUGUGAAAUACCGUGGCUUAACCACGGAACUGCAUCCAAAACUGUAGUUCUUGAGUGAAGUAGAGGCAAGCGGAAUUCCGAGUGUAGCGGUGAAAUGCGUAGAUACUCGGAGGAACACCAGU
This 716-nucleotide ribosomal RNA is filed under the name uncultured Bacillota bacterium. RNAcentral describes it as "bacterial SSU rRNA". It matches the Rfam family "Bacterial small subunit ribosomal RNA", at positions 1 to 713 of the family's 1533-position model. Lineage: Bacteria; Bacillati; Bacillota. The record is from RNAcentral.